CGAGGGGAGGGGUGUCUGUGAUGACCUUCUCAAGGCCAAAAACUUCAGGACCAGCAGGAUUCCUCCAGGGAAUGUUUUCUGGAAGAGCGUUAGCUGCGCGUUGCCAGGCUGACUGAGAGGGCACAGGCCUGCAGGGCACCCAGGGUUCCGCCUCUGCACUGCUGCCAGGCUCUGGCUGUGUGACCCGUCACCCUCCAGGCCUCAACAUCCACACUCAUGUCAGCAGGGUGAUGACAACUUCCCGGGGAUCCCAGAACGUCACCUGCCUCGACUGCAGGCAGCCUCUGGGCACAUGGCCCAUUCACAGAGCGUUUGGGUUUUUUCUUUAAGCAUGCUGGUCAUGACAGAAAGUAAAAUAUUAACCAAGAAGAAUAAUCUCACAUUUAACUAUAGCUUCACCCAAACACGUACAUCUGUAGCAACGUAAUUAUAGGAGACUGAGAGGGCCUGGGCCUCCUCAUUCCAGGCUGUGCUUUUCCCUUGAGAAGCAACAGAGGUAGGAGACUGCGGCUGUUCUGACCUCUGGACUGGUUAGAGAGCGUUUGUAGAGUAAAAACAUACAUAGGAGGCUGUGUGUUCUGGGAGGAGCUAGCAAAUCGGCAGGCGACAGCGCGGGGGACACGCGGCCUGCAGAGCAUGUGGGAACAACCACCUGCUUCGAGGCCUGUGCUCUGCCUCGACGGCUUUCUCUCUAGAGCUCGAGUCUCUUGUGGCAGGAAGUGAGUAUGAAUGAAUCAGUUAACCAUUCUGUAAACUGGGAAGUUGUCUUGUGACCAGCCUUCAUGCAGGCAGGUGCCUCCCCCGCGUGCCCGACGCUAACUCAAGCCUUGUGUUUUGUGGGCCAUGUGGCCUCGCCCGGGACGAGGGUAGGCGUGACUGUCCAGCCUCCAUGUCACCAAGGUGGCAUGUUCAUUUGUUGAGCUCACAUGCUCACCAGCUGUCCCAGCCGGGAGAUGCUCGGGAAAACUGCUACCGCACGGCGGCACAGGGGCCAUAAACAUGUCACCACUGGACAUAACGGAAGCUGCCGAUGACACCACACGCGAAGCCUCUCGUGGGUUCCAAGUAUUUUUACACGGCCAGACCUGGCCCUGUUCCUCGUUCAGCAGCCUCUCUGUGGAAACCUCCUUCUGCUGCCGGGACCUGCAGCAGCCCACAACUGGGGGUGGGGCUGGGGAUGCUUUCACCCCCGACCAGGGGUUGUGCCCGGGAGUGUUCCAGCUUAGCACCCCCCAUUGUCCCCAGAGCUGGGAGCUGUGGGUCUUUCCACUGUUGGUCACGACUCUGUCCUGUCCCUGCACAUGAGAGCGGGUGGCUGAAAAAUCAACACCAAGUAAGCUUUGGAGGGAGCGUGUUUAACCUGCCCCCGGGUUUACACUGAAACCCUGCGCACAGUUUAUUAAGGGAUACUCCUUAAAGAAGGUCGGGGAAGGAUGAAGAAAAACAAGUUGCUUUUACGAGUCAAUUAAAUACAUAACAGUGCUCAACUCAUUUUGGCCUGUGUGGUUUAAAGACCAAAUAAGAAUAUGCUGUUAUUUAUUUAAAGGUGAAAUGAGGGUCUGGGCCCAUUUUGCACCAUUUAGCAAGUGAAUGGGUAGCUUGUGUGGUCAGACCUCACUUUGACUGACAGAGCUGGGAAAUGUGCAAGGAGCAUUUGCUGAUUAAUUUGCCGCCCUCCAUCCGUCUGUGUCCCCGUUCCUUCACCCCCCUGCGUGCCAGGCCGAGAUAUCCCAGAGAAUGUUUCCAGAGGAGGUCUGGACUCAAGUCUAAUAAAGGAAACCCCAGGAAAUCCAGAACAGAAAGUUAGCCUGUGACAGGAGGAAAUUUGUUUUACACUCCACAGCUGAACUUGUGGUUGCCUUUCUAAUGUCUCGUGGGCUGUGCUGAGGCUAGGGCAGGUCUCUCUCCCCUGCAUGGACAUAGCAGACACUCGCCAUGGUGGGGUGGAUUGAUGGACGUGGUACAAGCUGCAUGGACAUCGCAGACACUGCAGACAUCGCAGACGCUCACCGUGGUGGGUGGACUGAUGGACGUGGUGCGAACUGCAUGGACAUCGCAGAUACUACAGACAUCGCAGACACUCCAGACAUCGCAGACACUCGCCAUGGUGGGUGGAUCGAUGGAUGCGGUGUGAGCCGUAGGGACAUCACUCACUGUGGCAGGUGGAUUGAUGGACACAGUGUGAGCCAGUCAGUCUCUGACGCCAGCUGUUUUACAUUCCUGGGUAGCAUUUGUUCCCUCUGGUUUUCUUCAUUGGCAUCUUUCUCUUCUUUUAAGAAAUUCGUCAGAAGCAACGUGGUUCUUCCCAGUGAACACAGCAGAGGUCUGCCUGACAUUUUAGAUACAUUUCUCCAAUUCUCCUUCCGUUCCUCGCCAGCCACUGUGUGCUGCGCUGAGCCAAAGCCACAGGUGUGUUUGCCCGAGUGCUGGGCCCUGUCGGGAGGAGCCGUCUGAAGCCCCCGGUCUCCAUGGAAGGAGGUGCCCUGUGAGAGACGAUGUGCCAGGAGGAGGCUGGUGUGGCCGAGCAGACAAACUUACAUUCGGAGAGGCCUCAUCUGGGGAAACAGCCCAGGAGGGGCAGCAGCCGUUGGGCUCUGGAGUUGGCUGUGACUGGUGGCCAAGCACCCCUCAGGAUCAUCCCAGCCUUCCAGCUCCUGCCUCUAAGUCAGGAAAGGCUUCCCGUGCAUGGCAGGGCCUCCGCUGUGCUCUGGAGUUCUGGUCGGCCUCUGCUGGGAUGGGCCGGGCCUUUCUCUGGUGCCCAAGGGCCUUAGUGCCUCCCAGCCCCACCCUCCAGCCCUCCUUGAGCUAAGCACCUUCCCAGCCUCCUGCUGUCCUCUGGUUCACUCUCUGAAUGGGGAGUGUUGCUUUUUUGCUGAGGAUUCUCUUGGAAACGCUUUGAACUGAGAGAUGGACGCACAGUGGUGCCUCUGCCUCGGACGUUGGUGUCCCCUGUGGCCCCGUGGGAGUGGACGCUGGCAGUCGGGGCACUUUGGCUGUGGGAAAGGAGGACCACGCUGGCCACGGAGGCCUGAGUGUGUGGGACCAGGGGCAAGCAGGGAGAGCUGGCAUCCCCCCACCCCCUUCUCCAGUUACCAACCCUUAACCCGGAGAUCUCCAAGCGGAGUCCCCAUAGCUGCAGCACCAGCCUCCCUGGGCACGUGUGUGAAGUGCUCGAGGCAGGCCCCAUCCCAGACCUACAGAGCCGGGACGGGCGACCUCUUUCCACAGGCCCUGCAGAGAGUUCCCAUCUGGCUGAAAUCUGAGACUCCUGGUCUACAGAGUGCGAUUCUCUCUUCCUGCCGAGUGUCAGGAGCAGACCAGCUUCCCGAACAGUCACCUGCAGAGCUUCCGCUCCUUCAGGGAGGGCCCUGACGUCCUCGCGGUGGAAAUCCUCCACCUGGCCAGGUUCCGGCUGCCCUGGACCCCCUGGAAGACUCCAGGAUUGAGGAGCAGACGCAGGGCUGCCUGGAGCUGGCCUCACCCCUGGAGCCCUGCUCGUGCCGUUUUUUGGUGACACCCAUUCACGCUCCCACCCUCGCCUGUUCCUUGGAAUUAGACAGGACGAAGUCUGUGCCUCCUUCACCGGCAUAAACAGAAGCUAUUUAAGUUGAUGGACCCCAGCCCCAACCAAGACACAGGAUCUGAUGAUCCUCUGGAAGUGCCGUUUUUGCUCAGAUAGCAGCCGGGGGUGUCCUAAUUCCUGACCAGAGAUGGAGGUUUGACACACUCUGCUUUACACGUGAGGUUUUCUGAACAGCUUACGUAGCUAGAGGCUGUUUUGGAGAAGCAGAGAUAGUCGUGGACAUAGUUGCAAAUACCAAGGUUGUCAGUGGACGUGGAGAGGUUGGGCUCUGUGGCGCAGGAAGUGACGUUUCCCUCCUUGGAGGCUCAUCCCGUUAGAACUCAGCCUGCGGCUGGUUUGUGGCUCAGCCCGUUAGAACUCAGCCUGCGGCUGGUUUGUGGCUCACCCAUUAGAACUCAGCCUGUGGCUGGUUUGUGCCGUUCCAUGUUGCAGUUUUAGUUUUUUUUCUUUUUUUUUUUACGUUGAGCAGCCCUGGAUUAUGACAGGUGUCUGGCGAUGUCUUUCCUGACUGGAGCACAGCUCAGCCCCCGACCGGGGCCUCACUCUGCUGCCCCCCACCUGGGACACCGUGGCUCUGUCAGGAGGAUUCUCACCCCUAAACAAGCACAGUCUGUGGUGUCAAACCUGGCGGUGUCUGGAUGGGUGUGUUCUGGUGCUGUGAGGCUCCGGUCUGGGCCAUGGGGACGCGGGAGGCUGAGCGGGUGAAGGCAGCUGUGACGUGUGUGUCACGCCCUGUGCAGGUGCCAGGCGGGGGCUGUCAGUCCUCACAGCACCCAGGAGAGGGAAGCUUCUUGUGUUUGUCUUGCUGAUGAGGAAACGGCUCUGGGAGGGAAGUGCUUUGCCAGGCUCAUGCUGGGCCACAGCUGCCUGCUGCUUUCCUGAGAAGCUGUGCAAGGAAGUCGUGGAGGCCGAGUGGGCGGAACCUGUCUUGUGUAGGGCCGGGGUCACGCAGCUGUGCAGGGAAGCAGCCACAGGCACGGUGCUGUCCAGUGAGCGGGACUGUAUGCAUUUCACCUGAUUUCAGAUUUGAGCUGAACGUAAUGUUUGCAUGCAUGGGAUGUUAUCCUUUUGAUGAUUUUUUCAUUACUUAAAAUCUACCUUGCGGGCGUUACAGCAUAGGUUUUGGUCGGCGGCCCGGGUCUCUCUCUCCCUGGUCCUGGCAGCCAUGUACCCCAUGGACCCAGAGCAGGGAUCCAGGUUCCAGGCCCUCCUGGGCACUGCUGAAUUCUGUCCCACCGACUUUGAUGUUUUAUGUUUUAUUCUGAGCAUUUCUGUUUCUGUUGAUGCACUAUUUUUUUCUGGUUAUAGAAGGAAUAAUUUUUCUUUUAUCAACCACCCAGGCUGCAGCCACGUGUGACAGGUCAGGUUCUGGGAUGGGGAGAGGGCCUGGCCCGGAGGUCGGCGUCUCGCGGUUCUCACUGGACUCCACAGACGCUCGUUGCCCUGAGGGUGCGGCUGUGGCAGCGUCUGUGGGUGGCUGAGGAGACGGGACGUUCACUGUUCACCGGGCAGUUGCGCCCCAAGGGUGUUCUGGGGGCUGCCUCAUGUCCCAGAGCUAGAUCCACACGAUGCUGAGCCUCGUGCCACUGCGAGACCACCCCCAGUCAAAGAGACCAGUCCCCUGCCCCGUGGCCCUGCACCAGCCCCGCCUCUGGUGCCGUCUCUUUGGAAGCGACAGCAGGAGGAGGCUGCUCGCAGCAUUUGGAGGCUCGAGGGCCCAGUCUCUGGGUGGCCACAGCCGUGGUGCAGCGGAAGGAGGAAGAACUUAAGUCAGAGAGUCCUGGGCUCCAGUUUUGCCUUGAAGGCAGAGGCUUCACACGGUUGCUGUUCCAUACGAGUGCCAAGCAAGACCCUGGUGCCAGAGGUGUGGACUGAAAAUGAAGCCUGAACAUCCUGUGACUGUCAUGAAGCCGGUCGUGGUCGGCGGUCCGUGUGUGUCUGUCAGGCCAGGGCCCUGCUGCCUGCCCUCUGGCUUCAGGAAUCCAGCUGGGGAGAAAUGCUCGCUCUGAGUAGCCCUGGGAUUUUGACCCAGCUUGAAGCUGUAAACAGGCGGAGGUGGCUGAGUGGAGAGGCUUUGCUGUCACAGAGACCUGGGCCUGCCCUGCCGCCGUCCACCUGGAGCCCACCACAGCCUCACCCUCUGUCACCUGCCUGCUGCCAUCUGCCUGGAGCCCACCACAGCCUCGCUCCGUCACCUGCGUGCUGCACGUGGCAGACUGAACUGCAGGACGCCUGUGUUGCCCCCAGUUCUGCUGUUUAGGAAAAACUGUCUGUGCUAAGUUGGAUCUUCCUUGUGACUGAUUCAGAGCAGCCACAUUGUUACGGAAGAGCUGGGAACCAGACACGGGGUUCAGAGAGUCCUCGAGGUAUCAGAAGAACUCCUGGAGAGCAGGCCGAGGGCUGUGUGAUUGCCACACCCUCCGUGGGGCCCCGCUCCUGAGUUAGGCUGUGCCCAGCAGCCCAGUGAGUCAGAAGGAGGAGAUGCAGCCGUUCAGAAGCAGACCUCCAGCGUGGGAAAAUCAGACCCAUGGUGUCAGGGUGCACGAAGGCAGGACACACAGGCCUGUCCCCUGCGAAGGCCAGGACAUGAAGGCGGAACACACAGGCUCGUCCCCUGCGAGGGUCAGGACACGAAUGCGGGACACACAGGCUCGUCCCCUGCGAGGACCAGGAUACGAAUGCGGGACACACAGGCCUGUCCCCUGCGAGGACCAGGACACAAAGGUGGACACACAGGCUCGUCCCCUGUGAGGGUCAGGGUGCCCAGGGUCAAGGCUGGAGCCUGAACGCUGUCCACAGACCGUGGCUGGAUGGAGACCGCCAUGUUGAAAUGUUGUGCAUCUGCUCCAGGUGUGGGCGUGUGGUCCAGAGAGGAGGUGUGGGCCGUGCACACCAAGCCGUCCUCGCAGCUGCGGCUCUGGGCGGGGCUGACUGAGGGAGGGAACAAAGUUAACUUUUUCUACCUGGAGACUUAACUGGCUAGAGUGAAUAUCUAUUUCUUUGUAAUUAAGGACAUUUUGAAAUACAGAAAAAUAGUUUCCUUACAAGACUUUUAAUUUUAAACAUACGCAGAGCUUUCUGAAAGGGACGCCAUGUGUAGUUUGGUUUCUGUGGGCUGUGUGCCUUCCAUGUGCCUGGAGGAUGGGCAGGUGGUUUUGUAAUGUGUGUUGUCGUUUGCACCCAGCUGGUUCAGGUGUUAAACCAAAAGCAAUUAAUAAAGCAAAGCAGUGGUGGUGGUCAGUUUGGACCCCCUCCCCACGCCGGGGGCUUAUGCUCUGGAGCGGGCAGCGUGGUCUAAGUGGGACUUGUGUGUGAAUCGCUACACCUACGCUAAGUAGAAUGGGCAUUUAUUUGCAAACUCUGAAUUACACUUUUUUAUUUUAU
This is a long non-coding RNA of Rhinopithecus roxellana (golden snub-nosed monkey), 6967 nucleotides long. RefSeq lists it as uncharacterized. The transcript is spliced from 3 exons. NCBI's taxonomy places the organism in Eukaryota, Metazoa, Chordata, Mammalia, Primates, Cercopithecidae. The record is from RefSeq and is a predicted model, not a curated record.